UGGGGAAUAUUGCACAAUGGGCGCAAGCCUGAUGCAGCCAUGCCGCGUGUAUGAAGAAGGCCUUCGGGUUGUAAAGUACUUUCAGCGGGGAGGAAGGCGAUAAGGGUAAUAACCUUGUCGAUUGACGUUACCCGCAGAAGAAGCACCGGCUAACUCCGUGCCAGCAGCCGCGGUAAUACGGAGGGUGCAAGCGUUAAUCGGAAUUACUGGGCGUAAAGCGCACGCAGGCGGUCUGUCAAGUCGGAUGUGAAAUCCCCGGGCUCAACCUGGGAACUGCAUUCGAAACUGGCAGGCUAGAGUCUUGUAGAGGGGGGUAGAAUUCCAGGUGUAGCGGUGAAAUGCGUAGAGAUCUGGAGGAAUACCGGUGGCGAAGGCGGCCCCCUGGACAAAGACUGACGCUCAGGUGCGAAAGCGUGGGGAGCAAACA
This 427-nucleotide ribosomal RNA is filed under the name uncultured bacterium. RNAcentral's name for it is "partial 16S ribosomal RNA". It matches the Rfam family "Bacterial small subunit ribosomal RNA", at positions 355 to 774 of the family's 1533-position model. The record is from RNAcentral.